Molecule: non-coding RNA, 77 nt
Organism: Amanita rubescens
Lineage: Eukaryota; Fungi; Basidiomycota; Agaricomycetes; Agaricales; Amanitaceae
Source: the annotation of a GenBank genome assembly
UCCCGCUUAGCUCAGUUGGUAGAGCGCGUCACUAGUAUGUAAUGACGAGGUCAGUCGUUCAAGUCGGCUAGCGGGAA